RNAcentral lists this ribosomal RNA (253 nucleotides) under uncultured bacterium. Its description in RNAcentral is "partial 16S ribosomal RNA". It matches the Rfam family "Bacterial small subunit ribosomal RNA", at positions 524 to 776 of the family's 1533-position model. The record is from RNAcentral.
UACAGAGGUCCCAAGCGUUGUUCGGAUUCAUUGGGCGUAAAGGGUGCGUAGGUGGCGCCGUAAGUCAGGUGUGAAAUUUCGGAGCUUAACUCCGAAACUGCAUUUGAUACUGCGGUGCUUGAGGACUGGAGAGGAGACUGGAAUUUACGGUGUAGCAGUGAAAUGCGUAGAGAUCGUAAGGAAGACCAGUGGCGAAGGCGGGAUCUCUGGACAGUUCUGACACUGAGGCACGAAGGCCAGGGGAGCAAACGGG